GGCGGGUGGGGACGCUGGUGCGUCCGGCGGUCUGAUGAGCCGCUGCGGGCAGGUUCGAUUCCUGCACCCGCUA
This 73-nucleotide transfer RNA is filed under the name Thermomonospora cellulosilytica. RNAcentral describes it as "Actinomadura cellulosilytica tRNA-Ile". It matches the Rfam family "tRNA". Rfam says of the family: Transfer RNA (tRNA) molecules are approximately 80 nucleotides in length. Their secondary structure includes four short double-helical elements and three loops (D, anti-codon, and T loops). Further hydrogen bonds mediate the characteristic L-shaped molecular structure. tRNAs have two regions of fundamental functional importance: the anti-codon, which is responsible for specific mRNA codon recognition, and the 3' end, to which the tRNAs corresponding amino acid is attached (by aminoacyl-tRNA synthetases). tRNAs cope with the degeneracy of the genetic code in two manners: having more than one tRNA (with a specific anti-codon) for a particular amino acid; and 'wobble' base-pairing, i.e. permitting non-standard base-pairing at the 3rd anti-codon position. Lineage: Bacteria; Bacillati; Actinomycetota; Actinomycetes; Streptosporangiales; Thermomonosporaceae. The record is from RNAcentral.